GAUGAACGCUAGCUACAGGCUUAACACAUGCAAGUCGAGGGACCGGCGCACGGGUGAGUAACACGUAUCCAACCUGCCCUUUACUCGGGGAUAGCCUUUCGAAAGAAAGAUUAAUACCCGAUGUAAAGGAUGGGGAUGCGUUCCAUUAGGUUGUUGGUGAGGUAACGGCUCACCAAGCCUUCGAUGGAUAGGGGUUCUGAGAGGAAGGUCCCCCAGAUUUGAACUGAGACACGGUCCACUCUCCGAGGCGAGGCAGCACUGAGGAAUAUUGGUCAAUGGGCGUUAGCCUGAACCAGCCAAGUAGCGUGAAGGAUGAAUGGUUUGGGGUCGUAAACUUCUUUUAUAUAAGAAUAGUUAUUAUAUGAAUAAGGAUCGGCUAACUCCGUGCCAGCAGCCGCGGUAAUAC
This 406-nucleotide ribosomal RNA is filed under the name uncultured bacterium. RNAcentral describes it as "partial 16S ribosomal RNA". It matches the Rfam family "Bacterial small subunit ribosomal RNA", at positions 28 to 526 of the family's 1533-position model. The record is from RNAcentral.